CGAACGGGUGAGUAAUACAUCGGAACGUGCCCUGUAGUGGGGGAUAACUAGUCGAAAGAUUAGCUAAUACCGCAUACGACCUGAGGGUGAAAGCGGGGGACCGCAAGGCCUCGCGCUACAGGAGCGGCCGAUGUCUGAUUAGCUAGUUGGUGGGGUAAAAGCCUACCAAGGCGACGAUCAGUAGCUGGUCUGAGAGGACGAUCAGCCACACUGGGACUGAGACACGGCCCAGACUCCUACGGGAGGCAGCAGUGGGGAAUUUUGGACAAUGGGGGCAACCCUGAUCCAGCAAUGCCGCGUGUGUGAAGAAGGCCUUCGGGUUGUAAAGCACUUUUGUCCGGAAAGAAAUGGCCUGGGUGAAUACCCCGGGUCGAUGACGGUACCGGAAGAAUAAGCACCGGCUAACUACGUGCCAGCAGCCGCGGUAAUACGUAGGGUGCGAGCGUUAAUCGGAAUUACUGGGCGUAAAGCGUGCGCAGGCGGUUUUGUAAGACAGGCGUGAAAUCCCCGAGCUUAACUUGGGAAUGGCGCUU
This 533-nucleotide ribosomal RNA is filed under the name Cupriavidus lacunae. RNAcentral describes it as "bacterial SSU rRNA". It matches the Rfam family "Bacterial small subunit ribosomal RNA", at positions 99 to 628 of the family's 1533-position model. Lineage: Bacteria; Pseudomonadati; Pseudomonadota; Betaproteobacteria; Burkholderiales; Burkholderiaceae. The record is from RNAcentral.